CUAAAAAUACAAAAAUUAGCUGGGCAUGGUGGUGUGCACCUGUAGUCCGAGCUACUUGGGAGGCUGUGGCAGGAUAAUCACUUCAAACCAGGAGGCUGAGGUUGCAGCGAGCUGAGACCACACCACUGUACUCCAGCCUAGGCGACAUAGUGAAACUCCAUCUCAAAAAAAAAAAAAAAAAGUUUUCCAGUGACGGGAAGCAAAAGAAGGAGAAGUAACUUAAAGAGAAUACGCAUCAGAAAAAAGGUUUUAUGGCCAGCCAUGGUGGCUCACUCACACCUGUAAUCCCAGCACUUUGGGAGGUCAAGGCAGACGGAUCACUUGAAUCCAGGAGUUCGAGACCAGCCUGACCAACAUGGUGAAACCCUGUUUCUACCCAAAAUACAAAAAUUAGCCAGGUGUGGUGGCACAUGCUUAUAGUCCCAGAUACUUGGCAGGCUGAGGCACGAGAAUCGCUUGAACCCAGGAGGCAGAGGUUGCGGUGAGCCGAGAUGGCACCACUGCACUUCAGCAUGGGCGACAGAGGUUGACAAGAAAAGGUUUUUGCUUUGUUUCGCUUUCUCAGAUGAGAGAUGCUAGCCCAUCUUUGGGAUCAGAAAUCAGAAGUUAUUAGAAAGAGAGAGAUGAUGGUGUGGAGAAGGAAGGAUUAGAUCCAAAGGGCAGGAGUGAAAUGAAGGAAGGAGGGACACUCCCACUGUUGAAACUGGAAGGAAGAAAAAAAAAGUACAGGUGCAGAUUGAAUCAUAGAUUUGGGAAUCAGGCCGGGCGUGGUGGUUCAAGCCUGUAAUCCCAGCGCUCUGGUGGGCAGAUCACCUGAGGUCAGGAGUUCCAGACCAACCUAGCCAACGUGGCGAAACCCCAUCUCUACUAAAAAUACAAAAUUAGCUGGGUGUGGUGGUGGGCAUCUGUAGUCUCAGCUCCUCGGGAGGCUGAGGCACAAGAAUCGCUUGAACCUGGGAGGCAGAGGAUGCAGUAAGCCAAGAUCAUGCCACUGCACUCCAGCCUGAGCGACAGAGUGAGGGAAAAAAAAGGAUGAAAAAAAAAAAGAUUUGGGAAUCAAAAGAUAAGCUAUUUCUGGUAGUCUCUAUUUUCCCGGAGAAGUAGGCAACACCCUCAGUUGGGAGUAGAGGGUUGUGGAAAAGACGUGGAAGUUCAGAGAAAAAAAGUAGAAAGUUGAGAAUUUGUAAAGUAAGGAAGAAAAUAAUUUGGGAAAGAGGAUGUAUAAUAUAGGAAACUGGGCCAGGCACGGUGGUUCACGCCUGUAAUCCCAGCGCUUUGGGAGGCCGAGGAGGGUGGAUCACCAGGUCAAGAAGUUGAGACCAUCCUGGCUAACACAGUGAAACCCCGUCUCUACUAAAAAUCGUACAAAAUAUUAGCCAGGCGGCUGGGCGUAGUGGCUCACGCCUGUAAUCCCAGCACUUUGGGAGUCCAAGGCGGGCGGAUCCCGAGGUCAGGAGAUCGAGACCAUCCUGGCUAACACGGUGAAAACCCUUCUCUACUAAAAAUACCCUGUAGCCCCAGCUACUCGGAAGGCUGAGGCAGGAGAAUGGCCUGAACCCAGGAGGCGGAGCUUGCAGUGAGCAGAGAUCGCGCCCCUGCACUCUAGCCUGGGUAACAGAGCAAGACUCCGUCUCAAAAAAAAAAAAAAAAAAAAAAACGAAAAAAAACAAAAUAUUAGCCAGGCAUGGUGGCACGUGCCUGUAGUCCCAGCUACUCGGGAGGCUGAGGCAGGAGAAUCACUUGAACCCAGGAGGUGGAGGUUGCAGAGAACCAAGAUUGCACCACUGCCCUCCAGCCUGGGUGACAGAGUAAGACUCAGAAAAAAAAAAAAAAAAAAGAGGAAACUGGCAGGAAAGAGGUCAUGCUGGGGUGGACUAUGAGAGGCAAUAAUUCGAAAUUAUAUCGUGGAAAUGCUUCAACCUCUACCAAGACCUACUUCAAAAGGAAAAUCUUGUGUUGAGUAGCAGUUAAAAAUGGAAUAAGAUAUCAGACCUUCAACCAAAUAGUUCUUAAUAGCUCAAAACUACUAUAGGAUAGCAAUUUUAUUCCCAAAUUAUUCUAGAACUGAAUAUCUGAAACUCAGUGACCAAAAGCCAGUCAACCAAUCUUCCACAGCCUAAUACACACACAUAAAAUAUACCUCUGGCAUUACAUUAUAACUUCCCCCAUCAAACAAAACAGGAAGAGUGGUUAUGUUGGGCUGAUAGUGUAAGAUGGUCUGUCAUGUAGCGUUUCCGUUAUAUUCUGAAUUUGAGUUGGUAUACCAUGUGACAGUUCUUUAUAUAUAUGUUUUCAACACCGCUAUGACAAGAGUGUCUUUCUGUUUUUGCGUCAGUGUCUCAUGAAAAGAAGACAUAAAGAAUAUUCAAAAGAAAUUUUAAGAAUCUUUGUUAUCUGAAGGUCGUAUCUUUAGUGCAUGUUCUGUCUCUCAUAGUUGCUAAACUCUAGCUGCAGCUCUUCUCUCAGAGAACUGCUCUGUCCUGCCCAUCUAUCCCAUUAUGACUUUCAGUUGUGAGAUGAAGAUAUCUGUUUGAGAAAAAAAAUUGGUUCCUCUAAAUAGAGAAAUGUCCAAAUAGCUACUUUAGUCUCUUCUUUAAUCUCAAGUUACAUCAGAGAAAAGAUUUCAGCAUGUAUAAAACAUCCAUAUCUACAGUGACCUUGGUGUUUUUCUCAAUGCAUAAAUCAUCACAUUUCUUCAUUUUCUAGUGCAUGAAAUAAUUAAACUUAAAAUAUCUUCUUUAAUUCUAGACACAAUUAAUUCAAUGCUAUUAUUUUU
RNAcentral lists this long non-coding RNA (2776 nucleotides) under Homo sapiens (human). RNAcentral describes it as "non-protein coding lnc-ERLEC1-7:1". Lineage: Eukaryota; Metazoa; Chordata; Mammalia; Primates; Hominidae. The record is from RNAcentral.